Plutella xylostella (diamondback moth) is the source of this 968-nucleotide non-coding RNA. Lineage: Eukaryota; Metazoa; Arthropoda; Insecta; Lepidoptera; Plutellidae. The record is from RefSeq and is a predicted model, not a curated record.
ACUAUGUUAUUGAAUAGGGUAAACGUACCGGUUUGCCGGCCACUACCCCUUUCCGGCCACUUCGCACCUUAUUUUGAAUAAUAGGAUAGUAUUGAGACAUCUCCUUUCUAAUUUCGCGCCACUCGACCUGGACGAACAUCACGGUUCAUAAUCCAACGGCAUGACCUCGAAAUUUGCGGACUGAACCCUCAGUCACCAUUUCAAAAUUUGGUGUGUGGUUGCGUGGCAAAUUUAGCAGAAAAAAUAGCAGGUGGAUUGAUUUUCAGAGGUAAGUUUUUAAGUGUUCCUACUGUUUUAUUAGUGAUUGAAUGGGUUUGUGUGUAGUAAAGUAUGUUUAAUUUCAAUAUUCAAUUGCCUAAACUAACAAACCUUUUCAAAAUUAGUAAUAUUUUCGGUGGUCGGACAAUAGGUUAUCGAUUUAUUUCAAAAUCUAGUUUCCGGCCGGGUGGUCGGAAACCGGUAUAUUGUAGUCAUUAAAUUUUGCCUAUAUUGCGGAAACCUUAAAUGCACUAACAUAGAUUCCAUUAUAUUAGUGAACAGCUAGAAUUUUGCGAAUUGACAACUAGAUUCCGGCCGGCAGAAUGCCUCAUAGUUUCAAAGAUAUGACCUUAAAAAAAUAACGAAUGUUUAGCGGCCGAUAACCAGUUAAAACAAAACCUGUUUCCGGCCAUCGAAAUAAGCGGCCGAAAAUGGGUAAAAAUUACACCUGAUUCCGGCCGUCUGAAAUAGCAGGCGGCCGAAAAUUGGUAAAAUUAAACCUGAUUCCGGCCAUUAGAUAAUAAAACGGCCGAUAAUGUUUAUCGAUGCCAAUGCCAAGAGUAGCUAAUUUGACUUAAAAUUUUAAUUUGUUUUUUAAAAACCCUAUGAACUACUGAAUAAGACUCGUUUUUCUACUGUGAAUUAGGUGGCCGAUAACCAGUGCACUGGUGGACGAUAACUGGGUAAAAUGGCCGAUAACCGGUAUAUUU